This 253-nucleotide ribosomal RNA is filed under the name uncultured bacterium. RNAcentral describes it as "partial 16S ribosomal RNA". It matches the Rfam family "Bacterial small subunit ribosomal RNA", at positions 524 to 776 of the family's 1533-position model. The record is from RNAcentral.
UACAGAGGGUGCAAGCGUUAAUCGGAAUUACUGGGCGUAAAGCGUGCGUAGACGGUUAUGUAAGUCAGAUGUGAAAGCCCCGGGCUCAACCUGGGAAUUGCAUUUGAGACUGCAUAGCUAGGGUGCGGAAGAGGGAAGCGGAAUUUCCGGUGUAGCGGUGAAAUGCGCAGAUAUCAGGAAGAACACCCGUGGCGAAAGCGGCUCUCUGGAACGGUACUGACGCUGAGACGCGAAAGCGUGGGGAGCGAACAGG